GGGAAGACUUCACGGUCUGAACUGAAGCCCCAGUGAACGGCGGCCGUAACUAUAACGGUCCUAAGGUAGCGAAAUUCCUUGUCAGGUAAAAUACAACUUGCCUGAAGACUGUGGCGACACAGUGUAAGUAAACCAACUAAUAACGGGGAAGUCCUCUGCUCUGGUCAAGAGCAAAGAUAAUCCCGUGGCAAUUCUGUCAAUUGACAGAGAAGCCGUAACGACUGAUCCGAAAGGAGAGGCGACAGUUCCUGUUGUACCGCACUUGGUGGAGCAACAAAUCUACAGCUGUCGCAAUACGCGGACCCUCACUGUUGGUGAGGUGAAGGCAUAGUCUGUCCCUCUAGCAAUAGAGGAUCGGAAGAUGAAGUUCCGACCUGCACGAAUGGCGUAACGACUUGGGUACUGUCUCAACCAGAGACUCGGUGAAAUUGCAGUGUGAGUAAAGAUGCUCACUACCUGCGGCAGGACGGAAAGACCCCGGAACCUUUACUGUAGCUUGACAUUGGAGUCUGGCGUUUGAUGUGUAGGAUAGGUGGGAGACUAGGAAGCGGUGGCGCCAGUCAUCGUGGAGUCAAUGUUGAAAUACCACCCUUCACUCGACGGCCUUCUAACCUCGGUCCAUUAUCUGGAUCAGGGACAGUGUCUGGCGGUCAGUUUCACUGGGGCGGUGGCCUCCUAAAGUGUAACGGAGGCGCCCAAAGGUUUCCUCAGUCUGGUCGGCAAUCAGACGUUGAGUGUAAAGGCACAAGGAAGCUUAACUGCGAGACCUACAAGUCGAGCAGGAACGAAAGUUGGGCUUAGUGAUCCCAUCAUGGCAUGUGGGUGCGUGAUGGCUCAUCGGCUAAAAGGUACUCCGGGGAUAACAGGCUUAUACCCCCCAAGAGUCCAUAUCGACGGGGGUGUUUGGCACCUCGAUGUCGGCUCGUCGCAUCCUGGGGCUGAAGCAGGUCCCAAGGGUCGGGCUGUUCGCCCGUUAAAGCGGCACGCGAGCUGGGUUUAGAACGUCGUGAGACAGUUCGGUCCCUAUCCGCCGCAGGCGCAGGAAAUUUGAGAGGAUUUGUCCCUAGUACGAGAGGACCGGGAUGAACAUACCGCUGGUGUGCCAGUUGUUCUGCCAAGAGCACGGCUGGUUGGCUAUGUAUGGACGGGAUAAGUGCUGAAAGCAUCUAAGUACGAAGCCCACCUCGAGAUGAGAUUUCCCAUGGAGUUAAUCCAGUAAGGGCCCUGGUAGAAGACCAGGUUGAUAGGCCGGAAGUGUAAGUACAGCAAUGUAUUCAGCUGACCGGUACUAAUUGCCCGAGGGCUUGGAUC
This 1311-nucleotide ribosomal RNA is filed under the name marine sediment metagenome. RNAcentral describes it as "bacterial LSU rRNA". It matches the Rfam family "Bacterial large subunit ribosomal RNA", at positions 1882 to 2925 of the family's 2925-position model. The record is from RNAcentral.